CCUUCUUCCUUCCCCGCUUCACCCCCAAAUCUCCGCCAGCGCCCUGCGCCACCACCAACCCGCCUCCCGGCGCCACCGCGCUGCCCUACACCGCCCCUACGUCCCCGCACACCUUCCUGCCACCUCCCAGCCCGUGCUGAUGCCGGCCCCCUAAUCCUAGCACCCGAUCACCGCGCCGGCCCUACCACCGGAUCAAGACUGCCACGGUCCGCCGUGAUGCCUCCGGUGCCUCCCUGCGACGGAUCCGGCUAGAUCCAGCCCCGCUGCUCCUAGCCACCUUCCUCUCGGCCCUGGCUGGGCCGCAACUGGCACCGCAGUGGUACCCCGCCCUGCCCUCCCGCUGCCUCCCGCCAGGAUCCGUCCGCCGCAGCCAACCUCCUCCAUCGCGCGCCUACAACGAUCCACGACGGGGAGGUGCCCCUACUGCCUCGAUCUGAUUCCGACGAGGAGCUCCUCCCUCCCGCUCCUCUCCGGUGGGGCGUCGGGAUGGGUCCCCUCCACGCCCCGCGCCCCCUCCCGGCUAGCCGCGCCGCUAACCACGAGCCUCCCCACGACACGCCGACGCUCCACGGCCCUAGGCCUGCCCGAAUCGCCCAUGGCGAUGGAUCAGCGAGAUCCACUCUUGGGUGACCUCCACCUCAUGUCGGUGCUCCUGUGCAACGGAAACAAGCAACAUCAGCUCUCCCCCAAAGCGCAGUUCACCUCCCGUUCAUGGAUUCGUGGAUGGAACCAGGAGGCCACCUACUUUUUCUCUCCCGAGCUUCUCUGCAGCUAAGCAAUGGGAGAGCCUCCUAGUGAGCACUUGCUCCAGCCGUGGGAUCUCAACUCCUCCCUCCGUCAUGGAUCCACGAUGGGACAGCACGGUGAUGCAGUUCGGCAUGCGCACGCGUGCAGCACGGUUGGGGCAGCGAGGCAGCUCGUGUAGUUCCCUUCAGUUCCGUUCGAGUGCCAGAUCCUCCCGAAGCAACCGAGGCGCACUUCCUCCUCUCCGCAGCGGAGGCGCACCCCUACCUUCGCGCGACCAUCAACGGCGACCCUUCCCGCGCGGGUUCCGGCAUCGAUCCGUGGCUUACGGCCGCGGACGCCGUCCCAACCCCUUCUUCUUCGAGUAGCACACAAUGCACCGGGACCCCGCCUCCGUCGCCGCGUUCUUGCUGACGGAGGAUUGGUUCACCAGGACCAGCCCGGCUAGGUGGAGUUCCAGCUCAGCCUUGUCUCAUUCCCGAGCUCGUGCGCCAGAUCCAACCUUGACAGAGCUCCAACCAGCACCGUCGCUGUCCAAGCCGGCGACUGCGACUCUGCACACAGGCGUGUAGUUCUGCCCAUGGGGAAGUGCAGCUCGGCCAACGGGGGCGUGCAGUUCGGCCCACAUCGUCGACGGCUUCCACGACUACGAUUCUGCACACGACGCAUGCAGCUCAACCAACGGGAGCGUGCAGUUCGGCCCAUGGCAUCGGUGGCUUUUCGGCGAACUAGCGUCUGCACGGCUAGUUCCCUUGUACUCUGCACACGUCGAUGAUUUUUUAUGAGGGGUUCAUUGUGUAUGUUGCAGAGGUCAGGCGUCCACAUAUGCGCGUACAGUUGAGCACGGCGCCAGGUGCAGUUGAGCUCGUCCUGAGGCAAGCGUUAAUACAAGCGGCAGGCAGAGGCAGUACAGGGGUGGCCUGCUUGCUGAUGGAUGCGCAUCCUCAACUGCAAGCAGUUUCCAGUUUCGCUACGACACGUUGUGGAUUUUCGUUUUGUUUUCAGGCAGCCCAUGAUUACCACAGGCGCAUAGCUUCGGAAUUUUGUUUGCUCCAUUUGUAGUUCUCUCAAUGUGCAGAAGAGAAAAUGUUUCACAUUUUUGAA
Triticum aestivum (bread wheat) is the source of this 1848-nucleotide long non-coding RNA. RefSeq lists it as uncharacterized. Lineage: Eukaryota; Viridiplantae; Streptophyta; Magnoliopsida; Poales; Poaceae. The transcript is spliced from 3 exons. The record is from RefSeq and is a predicted model, not a curated record.